RNAcentral lists this ribosomal RNA (497 nucleotides) under uncultured bacterium. RNAcentral's name for it is "partial 16S ribosomal RNA". It matches the Rfam family "Bacterial small subunit ribosomal RNA", at positions 28 to 507 of the family's 1533-position model. The record is from RNAcentral.
GAUGAACGCUGGCGGCGUGCCUAAUACAUGCAAGUCGAGCGAACAGACGAGGAGCUCUCUCCUUUGACGUUGGCGGCGGACGGGUGAGUAACACGUAGAUAACCUUCCUAUAUGACUUGGAUCACUUCGACAAACCGGAGCUACUAACAGAUAAUACUAUCUACCGCUUGGUUCUAUAAUGAUUGACGGUUUUGCUGUCACCUCUCGACGGAUCCGCUCGGCAUUAGCUAGUUGGUAAGGUAACGCCCUACCAAGGCAACGAUGCGUAGCCGACCUGAGAGGGUGAUAGGCCACACUGGAACUGAGACACGGACCAGACUCCUACGGGAGGCAGCAGUAGGGAAUCUUCCGCAAUGGGCGAAAGCAUGACGGAGCAAGGCCGCGUGAGUGAUGAAGGUCUUCGGAUAGUAAAGAUGUGUUAUUAGGGAAGAACAUAUGUGUGAGGAGCUAUGGAGAUCUUGACGGUACCUAAUCAGAAAGCAACGGCUAACUACGUG